Molecule: ribosomal RNA, 546 nt
Filed under: Staphylococcus aureus
Lineage: Bacteria; Bacillati; Bacillota; Bacilli; Caryophanales; Staphylococcaceae
Description: partial 23S ribosomal RNA
Rfam family: Bacterial large subunit ribosomal RNA
Source: RNAcentral
AGGUAGUCAAGAUGAGAAUUCUAAGGUGAGCGAGCGAACUCUCGUUAAGGAACUCGGCAAAAUGACCCCGUAACUUCGGGAGAAGGGGUGCUCUUUAGGGUUAACGCCCAGAAGAGCCGCAGUGAAUAGGCCCAAGCGACUGUUUAUCAAAAACACAGGUCUCUGCUAAACCGUAAGGUGAUGUAUAGGGGCUGACGCCUGCCCGGUGCUGGAAGGUUAAGAGGAGUGGUUAGCUUCUGCGAAGCUACGAAUCGAAGCCCCAGUAAACGGCGGCCGUAACUAUAACGGUCCUAAGGUAGCGAAAUUCCUUGUCGGGUAAGUUCCGACCCGCACGAAAGGCGUAACGAUUUGGGCACUGUCUCAACGAGAGACUCGGUGAAAUCAUAGUACCUGUGAAGAUGCAGGUUACCCGCGACAGGACGGAAAGACCCCGUGGAGCUUUACUGUAGCCUGAUAUUGAAAUUCGGCACAGCUUGUACAGGAUAGGUAGGAGCCUUUGAAACGUGAGCGCUAGCUUACGUGGAGGCGCUGGUGGGAUACUACCCU